UACAGAGGGUGCGAGCGUUAAUCGGAUUUACUGGGCGUAAAGGGCGCGUAGGCGGUGAGAUGUGUGUGAUGUGAAAGCCCCGGGCUUAACCUGGGAAGUGCAUCGCAAACUAUCUGACUAGAGUAUAUGAGAGGGUGGCGGAAUUUCCGGUGUAGCGGUGAAAUGCGUAGAUAUCGGAAGGAACGUCAAUGGCGAAGGCAGCCACCUGGCAUAAUACUGACGCUGAGGCGCGAAAGCGUGGGGAGCGAACAGG
RNAcentral lists this ribosomal RNA (253 nucleotides) under uncultured bacterium. RNAcentral's name for it is "partial 16S ribosomal RNA". It matches the Rfam family "Bacterial small subunit ribosomal RNA", at positions 524 to 776 of the family's 1533-position model. The record is from RNAcentral.